Rattus norvegicus (Norway rat) is the source of this 3612-nucleotide non-coding RNA. NCBI's taxonomy places the organism in Eukaryota, Metazoa, Chordata, Mammalia, Rodentia, Muridae. The record is from RefSeq and is a predicted model, not a curated record.
GCUGAUGCUGGAGGAGUCCAAAACCAGGCAUGAAUACCCUGGCUCAAGGAGAUUAACAGAAAAUAAGAAAAUAAAUUAAAUAAGAAUAAUAAAUUAAAAAGUAAGUAAAAAAAAACUUUCCAGAGAUAUCUGAUGGGGGCAGGGAUAAGCCUCCUGUGUGAACAGGAUGGGGAGGAAUGGGGUGUGUGGGUCACAAGAGCUGGUAGAUAGGGACGGUGAGACAAUAUGAAAGCUUCUGGCCAACUUUCUAACGGAAGAAGUAGGACGCAAGGCUAUUCAUUCAGUGACGGUGCAGAGCUGUCGUGGAAGGACUGGAGAAGGGGGUGGUGUGAAAUAAACCUGCAGAAGAGGAAGAAAGGUGGUCAUCCCAGAAGGUUCAAGUUCAUGACCACUUCUUAGGCCCAGGAGAAAGCUGAAACAAAAUACCAUGUUACCGUGGUCCAGGUCAGGGCCCGGGAAUUCCAGACUCUCAACACUUUAUUCAAGAAUGAAAUAAAAUCCCAUGCAGCUUACGAAGUAGUGAAGGGACUUUAUUUAAAGAAAAUAACAGAAAAGAUUAGAAUACACGGCAAGAAAGCAGAGGCCCCGUGGGCGCAGAUGCUUUUAUAAAACUGAAGAGGAGUUUGAUUGCCAAGGGGCCUACUUUCUCCAUUGUGAUUGAUGAAUUGGCUUUUUAUGCUUGUUUGUCGUUGUGUUUUAUUUUACUUUGUUUUGCAACAGGGCCUCACACUGUGGCUCUGGCUGGCCCGGAACUUGGGAUCAGGCUGGAUCGGGGAGAACAGAGAUUCCCCCUGACUGCUGGGAUUGAAAGCAUGCAGUAUUGUGCCUAGCGAUAGAUUAGAUCUUAUACUAGCGAUACAUUAGACCUUAUACUAGCGAUACAUUAGACCUUAUACUAGCGAUACAUUAGACCUUAUACUAGCGAUACAUUAGACCUUAUACUAGCGAUACAUUAGACCUUAUACUAGCGAUACAUUAGACCUUAUACUAGCGAUACAUUAGACCUUAUACUCACUUUUCUACUCUGCCUGUUGCUUUCCAUGGCAGAUCUGAUUUUUUUUUUCUUUUUUUUUUCCCCCGGAGCUGGGGACCGAACCCAGGGCCUUGCGCAUGCUAGGCAAGCCCUCUACCGCUGAGCUAAAUCCCCAACCCGCGGCAGAUCUGAUUUUAAUCCUACCAAUAUCCAACUAUGCACAGGAAUAAGCUAGCCAAAUUGAGAAAUUUUUACCUUAUUGCACAUAUACCCAGUUCCAGUUCAGGCCAGACUGGCCUUUCCAUUCUUCUACUCAGAUAUAAGGAGAAAACCACUGAAGGAGGCUAGGCCUGAGGCGGAUGGUUGUUAGGGGAGGAGACACUUACUCCAUUGUUACAGAGGGAGGGGUAUGUGGGCAGCCCGAGACAGGGGUCCUCUGUUGUUAGUAGAUUGCUAACUGCAUGUUCAGAGAGCGAGCACUGUACAUGCUGGUAAGAGAUCCGGGUGGCCAAGUGCACAGUUACUAGAAAAAGGGAGUUACUAAAAGAGGGACAUGGGCAUAGCCUUAGCCGUGUGCAGUUCCAGUUACUAAACUAUCCCCAGUGCUGCCUCAGAGCGACUUAUAAACAACAGAAAUGCAUCUAACACUGUUCUAGAAGCUGGAAAGUGAGAUCAAUGUGUUAGCAGAUUCAAUAUGUAGGCGCAUGGAGGUGCGGUGUGUGAUUCUGUCACAGAAGCCACAUUUGUGUGCCCUCGUGUGUAAGAAGAAACUGGCUCUCUGGGAUCUUUCUGAAAAAUGUGAUUACUUUGUACUUAAUACUAAAUUUAUUUAAUUGUUUUUAAAUAUGUGCUAGGAACUGAAUCAGCGUCUGGUACUCGCUAGGCCAACAUGCUAUUAACUAUACAGGCAAAGCCUACAAGAUGGGAUCAUUGGCCAAAGGCCGCCCCCACAUCUCCUAAUACUGUCACCAUGGGGGUCUUGGUUUUCAUAGGUGUAGUUGAGGGGAGCAUAAACGCUCAACCAUGACACUCCCCAUCAAUCCAAUAGUACUUUACGUAUUUUGUGAGCUGUUUUGAGUCUAACCAAGAAAAAGAAGAAACAGAUCAGGAUUCAGUUCAAAACGGAAUCCAAAUCCUUAUGAUUCUGUGUGAGAGACAGAAUAAGAUGAUGGAGACAGCUUCAUUACCACCCAGGGCCAUUUUACAUCAGCAGUCAGAGGAGGGAGAACGGCCACAUCAUCCAGCAAGCGUUCAGUGAAGGUUUGGUUUGUGAGCCAGUUACUUUUGAGGGUCAGAUUGAUUGGAUUAAGAAACACAUGGGGUGUGUCCAUGUGAGGCGGUCCAGGAAGGGUUAGCGGAGCAGGAAUGCCUCUCCUGAGGUAAGUGUGGCACCAUUCCACAGUCUAGUGUCCUCGACUAGCAAAGGACACAGAUGAAAACCAGCUGAGCACUGCCACACUCUGCCUCCUGGUCCUGGUGUGAGGAAGCAAAUCCACGCUUCUGCUCCAGUCACAGAGAGCUUCGCUGCCAUAUGUCUUACUUACCACAAUGGACCAUGUCUUCAAACUUCAAGCCCAAACAGAUUCCUCCUCCCUUAAAGUAAUUCAAGUCACAUAUUUGAAUCAUAGCUACAAGAAGGGUGGCUAAUUCAGCUUGUAGGUCUUUUUGUUAAUUUGAGGGGAAGGCAUAUUCUACCACAGCGGCUAAUAAUUGGGAGGAAGGGUAGAAAAUUGCCAUCUGUGGCCCCCUUGAUUAUCCAUGCAAAGAUCAACUACAGACAAGAUCACCAGAGGGAGACUGCUAGAGGACAAGCUAUUCCCACAGACCCAGAGAACCCUGUGUACUACUUACUACGUCCACGGAGAAAGUGCUUCUUGGCCUCGGAGGCAUUUGAUGGCCAUUGUCUUAGGAAAGGAAACAAACUUACCAUGAACAUUUGGACCUCCUGGUGUAGUGAGAACCAUAAAAUAAUACCAGUGUGCAGACUUCUUGGCGUGGCUGUUUCAACUGUACUCUAGCCAUAAGGAAACAAUCAGACCAUUUCAGACUAUGGGACAUUCUACAAGACCAGUUGGCCUAAGUCCUAAAAAAAAAAAAAAAAAAAAAAAAAAAAAAGCCAGUGUCUUGAGAGAUGAUAGAAAGUUGAAAGGAUGGCUGAAAAAGACUCCAGGGACUGAUGACACCGUGCAAAUAACUGAGAUUAGAUUUUGGAAUAGAAAAUAGCCUAGCUCUGUAAAGUCAUUUGAAGAGACGUGUGUGUAUUGUGUAUUGACUAUGGAUUGUACACUAACCGAUGUUAUGAAACUAAUACUCAGUUCAUUAACAGUGAUAUCCGUAUGUUUAUGCUGGAGGCUGCUCAUCCCCAGGGCGUGUUGGCUGAUAGGCCUAGAAGCAAAGAACUAUGGCAACAAUUAUGUUUCAAUAUUUCUACCCAAAAUAAGGCAGCGUGUGUGUACUGGCUGGUUUGUGUAUCAACUUGACACACACUGGAGUUACCACAGAGAAAGAGCCUCCCUUGAGGAAAUGCCUCCAUGAGAUCCAGCUCUCCUGCUUCCUGACCUGCUUGAGUUCCAGUCCUGACAUCCUUUGGUGAUGAACAGCAAUGUGGAAGUGUAAGCUGAAUAAACCCUUUCCUCCCC